GUAGAACGGGCCAACGAGUUAUGGUAUGCAGCGAGGUUAAGUUCCUGGAGGAACGGAGCCGUAGGGAAACCGAGUCUUAAUAGGGCGAGUAGUUGUAUGCUGUAGACCCGAAACCGGGUGACCUAUCCAUGUGCAGGUUGAAGUAACCGUAAAAGGUUAUGGAGGACCGAACUUAUAUCCGUUGAAAAGGGUUAGGAUGACGUGUGGAUAGCGGUGAAAUUCCAAUCGAACUCGGAGAUAGCUGGUUCUCCUCGAAAUAGCUUUAGGGCUAGCCUCAAGGAAGAGAUACACGGGGGUAGAGCACUGAAUGUUCUAGGGGCCUUCACCGGUUACCGAAAACUAUCAAACUCCGAAUACCGUAGUAUCAUACUUGGGAGUCAGACUACGAGUGAUAAGAUCCGUGGUCAAAAGGGAAACAGCCCAGACCUACAGCUAAGGUCCCAAAAUGUAGAUUAAGUGGAGAAGGAUGUGGAGCUGCAUAGACAACUAGGAUGUUGGCUUAGAAGCAGCCACUCAUUUAAAGAGUGCGUAAUAGCUCACUAGUCGAGUGACUCUGCGCCGAAGAUAAACGGGGCUAAAAUCUACUACCGAAGCUUAGGAAUUACUUAAUGUAAUUGGUAGAGGAGCAUCGUAUAACGGGCUGAAGCUAUGCUGUAAGGCAUGGUGGACUUUAUACGAGAGAGAAUGUUGGCAUGAGUAGCGUAAGGCAGGUGAGAAUCCUGUCCGCCGAAAAUCUAAGGUUUCCUGAGGAAGGUUCGUCCUCUCAGGGUUAGUCGGGGCCUAAGCCGAGAGCGAAAGCUGUAGGCGAUGGACAACAGGUUGAUAUUCCUGUACCACCGAAAGUCGUUUGAGCGAAGUGGGGACACAGAAGGAUAGGUUGAGCACGCUGUUGGUUAUGCGUGUCUAAGCGUCAAGGGAGUUAAGAUAGGCAAAUCCGUUUUAACAAUUCUGAGGCGUGAUGGGGUGGCCGUAAGGCUGGAAGCAACUGAUUUCACACUGUCAAGAAAAGCCGCUAGCGAGAUUGUAGGUGCCCGUACCGUAAACCGACACAGGUAGAUGAGGAGAGAAUCCUAAGGUGAGCGAGAGAACUAUUGUUAAGGAACUCGGCAAAAUAACCCCGUAACUUCGGGAGAAGGGGUGCUCCGGAAACGGAGCCGCAGUGAAAAGUCCCAGGCGACUGUUUACCAAAAACACAGGUCUCUGCUAAAGCGAAAGCUGAAGUAUAGGGGCUGACGCCUGCCCGGUGCUGGAAGGUUAAGGGGAUGUGUUAGGGCAACCGAAGCACUGAACUUAAGCCCCAGUAAACGGCGGCCGUAACUAUAACGGUCCUAAGGUAGCGAAAUUCCUUGUCGGGUAAGUUCCGACCCGCACGAAAGGCGUAACGAUCUGGGAACUGUCUCAACAAUAGACUCGGUGAAAUUGUAGUACCGGUAAAGAUGCCGGUUACCCGCAGCAGGACGGAAAGACCCCAUGGAGCUUUACUGUAGCUUGAUAUUGAGUUUCGGCGUUGCAUGUACAGGAUAGGUGGGAGACUAUGAGCCUAGUACGCCAGUAUUAGAGGAGUCACCGUUGGGAUACCACCCUUGUAACGUUGAAGUUCUAACGGCGUGCCGUGAUCCGGCACCCGGACAGUGUCAGGUGGGCAGUUUGACUGGGGCGGUCGCCUCCUAAAGAGUAACGGAGGCGCCCAAAGGUUCCCUCAGCGCGGACGGAAAUCGCGCGUAGAGUGUAAAGGCAGAAGGGAGCUUGACUGCGAGACAUACAGGUCGAGCAGGGACGAAAGUCGGGCUUAGUGAUCCGGUGGUUCCGAGUGGAAGGGCCAUCGCUCAACGGAUAAAAGCUACCCUGGGGAUAACAGGCUGAUACCGCCCAAGAGUUCACAUCGACGGCGGUGUUUGGCACCUCGAUGUCGGCUCGUCUCAUCCUGGGGCUGUAGUAGGUCCCAAGGGUUGGGCUGUUCG
RNAcentral lists this ribosomal RNA (1961 nucleotides) under human gut metagenome. Its description in RNAcentral is "bacterial LSU rRNA". It matches the Rfam family "Bacterial large subunit ribosomal RNA", at positions 610 to 2583 of the family's 2925-position model. The record is from RNAcentral.